GUUAGCGGCGGACGGGUGAGUAACACGUGGGUAACCUACCUAUAAGACUGGGAUAACUUCGGGAAACCGGAGCUAAUACCGGAUAACAUUUGGAACCGCAUGGUUCUAAAGUGAAAGAUGGUUUUGCUAUCACUUAUAGAUGGACCCGCGCCGUAUUAGCUAGUUGGUAAGGUAACGGCUUACCAAGGCGACGAUACGUAGCCGACCUGAGAGGGUGAUCGGCCACACUGGAACUGAGACACGGUCCAGACUCCUACGGGAGGCAGCAGUAGGGAAUCUUCCGCAAUGGGCGAAAGCCUGACGGAGCAACGCCGCGUGAGUGAUGAAGGGUUUCGGCUCGUAAAACUCUGUUAUUAGGGAAGAACAAAUGUGUAAGUAACUGUGCACGUCUUGACGGUACCUAAUCAGAAAGCCACGGCUAACUACGUGCCAGCAGCCGCGGUAAUACGUAGGUGGCAAGCGUUAUCCGGAAUUAUUGGGCGUAAAGCGCGCGUAGGCGGUUUCUUAAGUCUGAUGUGAAAGCCCACGGCUCAACCGUGGA
RNAcentral lists this ribosomal RNA (541 nucleotides) under Staphylococcus saprophyticus. Its description in RNAcentral is "bacterial SSU rRNA". It matches the Rfam family "Bacterial small subunit ribosomal RNA", at positions 91 to 619 of the family's 1533-position model. Lineage: Bacteria; Bacillati; Bacillota; Bacilli; Caryophanales; Staphylococcaceae. The record is from RNAcentral.